UCCGGGUUACCCCGGCUGUCUCGUCAGAGUCCCCAACGCUACUUGCUGGUAACUGACGACAAGGGUUGCGCUCGUUGCGGGACUUAACCCAACAUCUCACGACACGAGCUGACGACAACCAUGCACCACCUGUCUCACUGCUCCUUGCGGCACCCCGGUAUCUCUACCGGGUUCAGUGGAUGUCAAGCCCUGGUAAGGUUCUUCGCGUUGCUUCGAAUUAAACAACAUGCUCCGCUGCUUGUGCGGGCCCCCGUCAAUUCCUUUGAGUUUCAACCUUGCGGCCGUACUCCCCAGGCGGAAUACUUAUUGCGUUAGCUCCGGCACAGAAGACCUGCGUCCCCUACACCUAGUAUUCAUCGUUUACCGCGUGGACUAC
Molecule: unclassified non-coding RNA, 376 nt
Filed under: uncultured Eubacteriales bacterium
Lineage: Bacteria; Bacillati; Bacillota; Clostridia; Eubacteriales
Description: contains 16S-23S intergenic spacer region
Source: RNAcentral